GACGAACGCUGGCGGCGUGCUUAACACAUGCAAGUCGAACGGAAAGGCCCUGCUUUUGUGGGGUGCUCGAGUGGCGAACGGGUGAGUAACACGUGAGUAACCUGCCCUUGACUUUGGGAUAACUUCAGGAAACUGGGGCUAAUACCGGAUAGGAGCUCCUGCUGCAUGGUGGGGGUUGGAAAGUUUCGGCGGUUGGGGAUGGACUCGCGGCUUAUCAGCUUGUUGGUGGGGUAGUGGCUUACCAAGGCUUUGACGGGUAGCCGGCCUGAGAGGGUGACCGGCCACAUUGGGCCUGAGCUCCGGCCCAGACUCCUACGGGAGGCAGCAGUGGGGAAUAUUGCACAAUGGGCGGACGCCUGAUGCAGCAACGCCGCGUGCGGGAUGACGGCCUUCGGGUUGUAAACCGCUUUCGCCUGUGACGAAGCGUGAGUGACGGUAAUGGGUAAAGAAGCACCGGCUAACUACGUG
This 468-nucleotide ribosomal RNA is filed under the name uncultured bacterium. RNAcentral's name for it is "partial 16S ribosomal RNA". It matches the Rfam family "Bacterial small subunit ribosomal RNA", at positions 28 to 507 of the family's 1533-position model. The record is from RNAcentral.